Long non-coding RNA from Alosa alosa (allis shad), 279 nucleotides. RefSeq lists it as uncharacterized. NCBI's taxonomy places the organism in Eukaryota, Metazoa, Chordata, Actinopteri, Clupeiformes, Clupeidae. The transcript is spliced from 3 exons. The record is from RefSeq and is a predicted model, not a curated record.
CCGUUACUUGGUUGUUACAAAGGCGAAGCAUAGGAGGGAAAUCAAAUGUUUGAACGCUAGCAUAUAAUGCCAUUCCUAAAAACUACAGGAGCGGAGAUUCAGGCGCGCAGAUGGGGAAGAGAUGAUUGGGACCUCCACUCUCACCCAGUGGCAUGUAACCAAGAGGCUUUCAUGCAGAAUGAUUCGAUUUGAUGAAGAUGAAAUAGGGACCAAAAAUUUACCAGUAACGCCACCUGAUGGAGGUUUGGGGAACUUGCAGUGUGUUCACCUGGCUAAAAA